GGGGAUUUAGCUCAGUGGUAGAGCUCUUGCCUAGCAAGUGCAAGGCCCUGGGUUCAGUCCCCA
Rattus norvegicus (Norway rat) is the source of this 63-nucleotide non-coding RNA. Lineage: Eukaryota; Metazoa; Chordata; Mammalia; Rodentia; Muridae. The record is from Rfam.